Molecule: ribosomal RNA, 442 nt
Filed under: uncultured bacterium
Lineage: Bacteria
Description: partial 16S ribosomal RNA
Rfam family: Bacterial small subunit ribosomal RNA
Source: RNAcentral
CCUACGGGUGGCAGCAGUGGGGAAUAUUGGGCAAUGGGCGCAAGCCUGACCCAGCAACGCCGCGUGAAGGAAGAAGGCUUUCGGGUUGUAAACUUCUUUUGUCAGGGAAGAGUAGAAGACGGUACCUGACGAAUAAGCCACGGCUAACUACGUGCCAGCAGCCGCGGUAAUCUGUAGGUGGCAAGCGUUGUCCGGAUUUAGUGGGUGUAAAGGGCGUGUAGCCGGGUUGACAAGUCAGAUGUGAAAUCCUGCGGCUUAACCGCAGAACUGCAUUUGAAACUGUUGAUCUUGAGUGCUGGAGAGGCAGGCGGAAUUCCUGGUGUAGCGGUGAAAUGCGUAGAUAUUAGGAGGAACACCAGUGGCGAAGGCGGUCUGCUGGACAGCAACUGACGGUGAGGCGCGAAAGCGUGGGGAGCAAACAGGAUUAGAUACCCGUGUAGUC